GAUGAACGCUGGCGGCAUGCCUAACACAUGCAAGUCGAUCGGUAAGGCUCUUCGGAGUACACGAGAGGCGGACGGCUGAGUAACGCGUAGGAACACACCCUGCAGUGAGGGAUAAGACACCGAAAGGUGUUCUAAUACCGCAUACGGUCUUCGGAUUAAAGCAUUUAUGCGCUGAAGGAGUGGCCUGCGUCAUAUUAGAUAGUUGGUGAGGUAAUGGCUCACCAAGUCGAUGAUGUGUAGCUGGCCUGAGAGGAUGAUCAGCCAGACUGGAACUGAGACACGGUCCAGACUCCUACGGGAGGCAGCAGUGAGGAAUAUUUCACAAUGAGCGAAAGCUUGAUGGAGCAAUGCCGCGUGCAGGAUGAAGGCCCUCGGGUUGUAAACUGCUUUUAUAAGAGAAGAUUAUGACGGCAACUUAUGAAUAAGGGACGGCUAACUACGUG
Molecule: ribosomal RNA, 443 nt
Filed under: uncultured bacterium
Lineage: Bacteria
Description: partial 16S ribosomal RNA
Rfam family: Bacterial small subunit ribosomal RNA
Source: RNAcentral